Molecule: unclassified non-coding RNA, 188 nt
Filed under: uncultured Sordariomycetes
Lineage: Eukaryota; Fungi; Ascomycota; Sordariomycetes
Description: sequence contains ITS1
Source: RNAcentral
CAGUGGUCUGACGACUUGACCAAACCAAACCGUGAACCUAUUCCAACUGAAAAAAAUGGAUGCUUCGGCGGGUCGCUCGCUGGGGGAGCCUCGGGCCGCAUUUUGACGGUGGCCCGCCGGAAGCAUGCCGAACCAAAAUCUUUUUACCCUAAAAACUUCUGAGAACAAACUUUCUAAAAGAGUUAUCA